RNAcentral lists this ribosomal RNA (460 nucleotides) under uncultured bacterium. RNAcentral describes it as "partial 16S ribosomal RNA". It matches the Rfam family "Bacterial small subunit ribosomal RNA", at positions 338 to 795 of the family's 1533-position model. The record is from RNAcentral.
CCUACGGGUGGCUGCAGUGAGGAAUAUUGGUCAAUGGCCGGAAGGCUGAACCAGCCAUGCCGCGUGAAGGUCAGUGCCCUAUGGGCGUUAAACUUCUUUUGUGCGGGAGCAAUAAUGGUCACGUGUGGCCAGACGAGAGUACCGUACGAAUAAGCAUCGGCUAACUCCGUGCCAGCCGCCGCGGUCAUACGGGGGAUGCAAGCGUUAUCCGGAUUUUUUGGGUUUAAAGGGUGCGUAGGCUGUGAGGUAAGUCAGCGGUGAAAUGCCCCCGCUUAACGGGGUGAAGUGCCAUUGAUACUGCCGUGCUGGAAUGCGGAUGCCGUGGGAGGAAUGUGUGGUGUAGCGGUGAAAUGCAUAGAUAUCACACAGAACACCGAUUGCGAAGGCAGCUCACGAAUCCGCGAUUGACGCUGAUGCACGAAAGCGUGGGUAUCAAACAGGAUUAGAUACCCGAGUAGUC